Molecule: non-coding RNA, 45 nt
Organism: Schistosoma mattheei
Lineage: Eukaryota; Metazoa; Platyhelminthes; Trematoda; Strigeidida; Schistosomatidae
Source: Rfam
AUCCGGCUGACGAGCCCCAAACUGGACGGAACGCGCGUCCUGGAU